This is a non-coding RNA of Paramormyrops kingsleyae, 1334 nucleotides long. NCBI's taxonomy places the organism in Eukaryota, Metazoa, Chordata, Actinopteri, Osteoglossiformes, Mormyridae. The record is from RefSeq and is a predicted model, not a curated record.
AUUAAUGUUUGAAUGUUCGCAUGCGCACUUCCUAUUCACUCACAGUCACUGGUGCCCCGAGUCUCCAUUCAUAGUACAAAGGGUAGGAAAUGGCAUAAUUACUCUAACACUAAACGAGACAAACAUGCUCUGCAAAGUGGGCUUUUAACAGUGGACUCUGGGGACCAAUGCACAACCCUUGCAUUUUUAGGUUACUUAUGUAUGUACAUGUUUAUUAAUUAUACUGUACCCAUGCAAUAGGACAAUAUAUACAUGGGUUAAUAACUAUGACAAAAUAAGACACAUCUAUAGUAAAGUGCUUAGAGCAGUGGACAGUCUAUGACAGUGCACACAUCUCAGAUCUGGUACUCCUAUAAAUCUAUAUAUUGUACAUUACGCACAGUCCACUGUUCAAAGCUCACUUUAAAGGACAUGCAUCUGUCUCAAAAGACAGAGGAAUCUAUCUAAAGCAGCCGUAGGGCGGCGACAAAUGUGAAAAGUGAAUCGUAAGUAAGAUUGUAUGAUAUUGAUUUAUGUGUGUUAUUGAUUUAAGUGUCACUGCAGAACCACGUUUUAAAUGUACAAGUAGGCUAUAACACAAAAUGUCCGUCAUGACAGAAUUAGGUGGCGGCGGUAGCUUGUCCCCUUUCUCUUAUUGUUACUUGUUAUUAAGUCACAUGGAUAAUAUCCCCAAAAAUCCUACGCCGGGCCACUGAGUCCGUGUCCAUUUCUGCUUAGACCGCUUCCGCGUUUGAUACGCAGCAUUUCCUGUUUGCAAAUGAAAGUGAAAGUAUUUUAAUGCUGGACUCUCCAGUUGUUAAUAAACACGGAUAAGAUUCUGUAUUGCAAGGCCCCAGCAUCAGUCAUCUGGUCUAGAUCGGCACAAAAAUGGAGCGAGCUGCUUCUGAAGUGACCCCCCCUGUGGAGUGUAAAACAAAGAGAGCUGAGAGUGUCCUGAUGGAGAGAGCAGGCUCACCUGUAACCAGCUGUGUUUCCAUGAAGAGUGACAGGUCAAUGGACCUACCAAUGAGCUUCAGAGAGGGACCUUUUCCUACAGGUCAAAGGGACGGAGUGAAUAGAUGUAAUUCACAGCCACAUAAAGGGGACUUAUCAUCCAUCUUCAAGGUGUGCAUUUAUUACUGAAGUAUAUUUUCUUGAAUUUCAUCUAAAUUGACAUAUAUCUUCUACAGAUGUAUAAUAAGUAGUUCAUCCUAUCAAAGAGAUGAUAUUUACAACUAAUCCUGCGUUCCAUUUACUUCGGAGGCCGGAACUCGGAGCUGGGAAUGACGUCACACCCAAGUUAACCUCGUUUCAGUACAGCAAGUCGGAAAGCCAUUUAGCAAAAUCAGGGACCU